This 642-nucleotide long non-coding RNA is filed under the name Dromaius novaehollandiae (emu). Its description in RNAcentral is "lncRNA (ENSDNVG00000011804.1)". The record is from RNAcentral. Lineage: Eukaryota; Metazoa; Chordata; Aves; Casuariiformes; Dromaiidae.
UGCAGUAAGGAGAAAUAAAGGUUGAGUGAUAUGAUAUGCUAAAACAGAUUAAAUAAAAGGRCUAGGUGUAAUAGGGAAGAAAAAAUAAGAGGGCAUGUGACAAAGGAAAAUGAUAAUACAGAGAAAAAAUAAUUAAUCUGAUGAAGAUAGAUACAAAGGUAGUUCAGUGCUAAAAGAAUAUAAGAAAAGAGUGAAAGGUAGGUUGGACAUUUCCUUCUGGAGACAAAGAGACUUCUGUAAAUAUGGCACAAGAGGAACUGUGAGACAAAUGAAAUGCAUUGAGUUUGUGAGGAAGCAUGAUGGAAAAAAAGAUUAUUUCAAAGCUGGUAUUCAGUGCUCAGAUUCCCCUGUCUACAUCCUACCAUGGUAUUUGCUCUUCUCAUGGCUUCUGCUACAAUCUCGCUCUGCCACCAGGCUUGAUGCACAUUACCCCAAGAGGCAUCCUGUUGUAUACUGCAUUACACGUAGCUGUGUGUGGCUUCUGGAAAAUGCGUCCAGCUGAAUAAAAUAGAAAUUGUAAUCACAGAGCGAUUGUUUACUGAUGGACCUGUGCAAUAUCCCACACACAAGGUGAAAUAACUGAAUUAACACUUUUCAAAGCCACUCCAUUUUUUAGAUUUGCCUCACAGAGUCAGUUUGAGC